Molecule: ribosomal RNA, 515 nt
Filed under: uncultured bacterium
Lineage: Bacteria
Description: partial 16S ribosomal RNA
Rfam family: Bacterial small subunit ribosomal RNA
Source: RNAcentral
GAUGAACGCUGGCGGCGUGCCUAAUAUAUGCAAGUCGAGCGAAUGGAUUAAGAGCUUGCUCUUAUGAAGUUAGCGGCGGACGGGUGAGUAACACGUGGGUAACCUGCCCAUAAGACUGGGAUAACUCCGGGAAACCGGGGCUAAUACCGGAUAACAUUUUGAACCGCAUGGUUCGAAAUUGAAAGGCGGCUUCGGCUGUCACUUAGGGAUGGACUCGCGUCGCAUUAGCUAGUUGGUGAGGUAACGGCUCACCAAGGCAACGAUGCGUAGCCGACCUGAGAGGGUGAUCGGACACACUGGGACUGAGACACGGCCCAGACUCCUACGGGAGGCAGCAGUAGGGAAUCUUCCGCAAUGGACGAAAGUCUGACGGAGCAACGCCGCGUGAGUGAUGAAGGCUUUCGGGUCGUAAAACUCUGUUGUUAGGGAAGAACAAGUGCUAGUUGAAUAAGCUGGCACCUUGACGGUACCUAACCAGAAAGCCACGGCUAACUACGUGCCAGCCGCCGCGGUAA